Anolis carolinensis (green anole) is the source of this 3664-nucleotide long non-coding RNA. RefSeq lists it as uncharacterized. The transcript is spliced from 2 exons. The record is from RefSeq and is a predicted model, not a curated record. NCBI's taxonomy places the organism in Eukaryota, Metazoa, Chordata, Lepidosauria, Squamata, Anolidae.
UUUGCAUCCGUUGGUUGAUGUUCUUAUAAUAUGAAUCCAUGAUUCCUCUUCUUAUCAUUCGAAUCCAUUGAUUUAUGUUCUUACCAUUUGCAUCCGUUUGUUGAUGUUCUUAUAAUAUGAAUCCAUGAUUCUUGUUCUUGUCAUUUGAAUCCAUUGGUUUAUGUUCUUACCAUUUGCAUCCGUUUGUUGAUGUUCUUAUAAUAUUGAUCAAUUGGCAGCGCAGUGGGUUAAACCCUUGUGUCAGCAGGACUGCUGACCGAAAGGUCGGUGGUUCAAAUCCAGGGUGAGCUCCCAUCUGUCAGCUCCAGCUUCUACUGCAGGGACAUGAGAGAAGCCUCCCACAGGAUGGCAAAACACCCAGGUAUCUCCUGGGCAACGUCCUUGCAGACGGCCAGUUCUCUCACACCAGAAGCGACUAGGAGCCCCCAGCGGUGCAGUGGGUUAAACCCUUGUGCCAGCAGGACUGCUGACCAGAAGGUUGCCAGUUCGAAUCCAACCUGGGGAGAAGCGGAUGAGCUUCCUCUCUCAGCUCCCACAAGGAUGGUAAAACAUCAAAACAUCUAGGCAUCCCUUAGGCAACAUCCUUGCAGAUGGCCAAUUCUCUCACACCAGAAGCGACUUGCAGUUUCUCAAGUCGCUCCUGACACGAAAAAAUAUUUGAAUCCAUUGGUUUAUGUUCUUACCAUUUGCAUCCAUUAGUUCAUGUUCUUAUCAUAUGAACCCACAGGGUCCUGUUUUUAUCAAAUAAUAAUAAUAAUAAGAAGAAUAUAUUUACUACCCACCUCUCCAUUGGCACAAAAAGGAGCUGGUUCCGUAUUCUACAUGACAUCCUUCUGAAUAUCGAAAGACCAAAUUCAUAUUCUCUCUCAGUCUCCUGCAGAACCCUAAGUCAUAAAAUGGAUUAUUUUGGAGUGACUUAUUUUUUUUUUUUUCGUAUCAGGAGCAACCGGAGUUGCUUCUGGAGUGAGAGAAUUGGCCGUCUGCAAGGACGUUGUCCAGGGGACGCCCAGAUGUUUUGAUGUUUUACCAUCCUUGUGGGAGGCUUCUCUCAUGUCCCCGCAUGGAAGCUGGAGCUGAUAGAGGGAGCUCAUCCGCGCUCUGCCCGGGUGGGAUUCGAACCUGGCAGCCUUCAGGUCAGCAACCCAACCUUCAAGUCACAAGGCUUUUAUCCCCUAGGCCACCGGAGGCUCCUAGUGACUUAAUGAAACUUUGAUAUAUUUUUUUGGAUUUUUUGGGAAUCUGUAUCAAUGCAAAAUCUUUGGAUCCUGCAGGGAGUCGUAGGUCUUGGGAGGCAAAAGGGGCCUCUCCUGGAAGCUGGCACUAGUCGGCACCCAUGCGCUGCUCCUGUUUCUGUUACGACUCUGAGAUUCAGCCGUAAAGAUGGCAUCCUUCUGGCAAAGCCAUCCUGGGAAGGAAGGAGGGGCCAGGAGGGCCUUCUUACGGUCAAUGAGCAGAAGAGGGAAAGUGGAAGCAACGGCUGCGGGAAGGAGAAGGGGAAAGAAGGGAUGGAGAUGGAGAAAGCCACUUUGGAUCCAGGGGAAGUGGCAUGAUUUUGGCAUCGACUUCCCGUCCUCUCUCUUAUUAAGACACCUUUAGGAUAGAAUCAUAGAAUCGUAGAGUUGGAAGAGACCUCAUGGGCCAUCCAGUCCAGCCCCCUGCAAGAAGCAGGAAAAUCUCAUUCAAAGCACCCCCACAGAUGGCCAUCCAGCCUCUGCUUAAAAGCUUCCAAAGAAGGAGCCUCCACCACAGUCUGGGGCAGAGAGUUCCACUGCCGAACAACUCUCACAGUGAGAAAGUUCUUCCUGAUGUUCAGGUGGAAGAACUUUCCUAAUCGCACCUAAUUGCUCCAUAGCCACAAUCCCCAUGUGGUCGCAAUCGUGGCAGAUGCUCUGAAAGAAAGCCAGAAAGAGAAGCAUAUUAUAUGGAACUGCACUUAGACAGGGGAGGGGGAGAUUAAAUGCAUCGAUAUAGAAUGUGGGACAGCAGUCCAUGCAAAAGGGACCUAGGGGUCUUAGCAGAAUUUAAGGUGAACAUGAAUCAAGAUACCCAAAGGCCAUCCAGUCCAACGCCCUUCUGCAAUGAAAAGCUUCACAUGAGCCAGCAGUGUGUUGCAGCAGCAAAAAAGGCCAACACCAUUCUGAGUGUUCUUACUGGGGCGGCUCAAGCGGCCCCAUGCAUUUGGAUCUGAGCCGUCUCCUUCCCAGACGGAUCCAUCCGGCCGCCAUGCGCUUGAUCCGACAUGUCAGUCUCGCAAAGGCGACAAUCCUUUCACUCCAGACUCCUGAUUUUGUAAUUAAAGCUUUUUAUUGCAAUCCCCGGGACAGGGAGAAGUGUCUCGAUGAGUGGAUCAACCCGUUCUGCAACCUGUCUGGAAUCCGAACCCAGUCCCCGCAUGCCGGGAUGUGCAGCGGAGGAGGGCUUGGCUGUAUGGGAAACCCCAAGGGGCAAAGGGUUCUUGCACAAGCCCCUUCCGGGAAGAAGAACGCUUGUCACCCUUUGAGAGCAUGAACUUGCACCGAGAGAUCACUUUUGGUGUGUCCCAAUUGCCUUCAAAAGACCUUAAGGGUUACAUCUUCCUUAAAGGACUAUUUUGCUGGAUAUGUUUCAAAGUCCAAGCCUGUUGCAAAAACCUUGGAGUCAAGAAGGAAAUGUUGCCACCACCCACGCCCUUGACUACUUGGCUGCCAUACACUUGCUUGGCUUAUUAGUAUUAGUUAGCUAUUGACUUUAUUUUGAUCCUGUCUUUCCCCCGAUACAAGGAUAGCGCAAUAAACAGGACACCUAUUUAUCAUGUUUAGAUUUUAACUAACCGAAUGUUGCAAAAAUGCUUACUCUUUACAUACUUGAGUGAUAACACUAUGUUACUUAUUAUUAUUAUUAUUAUUAUUAUUAUUAUUAUUAUUAUUAUUAUUAUUGACACAAAGUUAGAGUACUAUAUAUACAGUAGAGUCUCACUUAUCCAAGCCUCGCUUAUCCAAGUUUCUGGAUUAUUCAAGCUAUUUUUGUAGUCAAUGUUUUCAAUAUAUUGUGAUAUUUUGGUGCUAAAUUCGUAAAUACGGUAAUUACAACAUAACAUUACUGCGUAUUGAACUGCUUUUUCUGUCAAAUUUGUUGUAAAACAAGAUGUUUUGGUGCUUAAACGGGCUGCCGGCCCGUUUAGCUUGGAUAAGUGAGAUUCUACUGUAUUAUUUUUCUUUAUUAUUAUUGGUAUUGUUCCAUUUAUUAUUUUACUCUAUUAAUUAUUAUUAUUACACUUAUUAUUUUACUCUAUUAUUGUUACUUUUACAUUUAUUUUUAUUAUUAUUCAUACAUUUAUUAUUUUACUCUAUUUAUUAUUACCUUUAUUAUUUUACUGCAUGUAUUAUUAUAAUUAUUACAUUUAUUGUUUCACUCUAUUAUUAUUAAAAGGAUACAUAAGCACAUUUACAUUGAAGAAGAUGAAAAUAAUGACUUAAUCAGAGCUGAACAGUCAUAUCUUAAAUUACAGUUUGAUGUAAAGAUUCAAAAACAUUUAAACUACUGAUGCCUCAAUCAAUGUAAAUUUAUUAGUAUCUCGGCUUAUAUUGGAGUCAAUGUUUUCCCAGUUUUUUUGUGGUAAAAUUAGGUGCCUCGGCUUAUAUUCGGGUCGGCUUAUACUCGAGUAUAUACAGGUAUAUUGUUGUCA